UACGGGGGGGGCAAGCGUUGUUCGGAAUUACUGGGCGUAAAGGGCUCGUAGGCGGCCAACUAAGUCGGAUGUGAAAUCCCCAGGCUCAACUUGGGAACUGCAUCCGAUACUGGAUGGCUUGAAUUCGGGAGAGGGAUGCAGAAUUCCAGGUGUAGCGGUGAAAUGCGUAGAUAUCUGGAGGAAUACCGGUGGCGAAGGCGGCAUCCUGGACCGACAUUGACGCUGAGGAGCGAAAGCUAGGCGAGCAAACGGG
RNAcentral lists this ribosomal RNA (253 nucleotides) under uncultured bacterium. Its description in RNAcentral is "partial 16S ribosomal RNA". It matches the Rfam family "Bacterial small subunit ribosomal RNA", at positions 524 to 776 of the family's 1533-position model. The record is from RNAcentral.